UAUAAUCAAUUGUUGUUGUUUUUGUUCGAUUCUGGUUGUAGUGGUGUUUUGUUGUACUUCACUAUAGAUGUUAGGUUGAUAGUGAUAUUCUUAAAAGUUAAACUCGUCUUGUACAUCACGUUCUGUGAUUAUGUGUAAUUGAAUUUGAAACAAAAGAAGUAGGCUUACAAGUUAACAUAAAAAAUGAAGAAAUAACAAUUAGUUGGUAGUUGUAACGUAAUAAUUCCAAAAAAUGCCAGUUAACACGUACACCUUUAUUAACGCUUAAAUCGCUAAUUUCAAAUUCAGUGCAUGUAGAUGUUAUUGUUAUACUAAAACUCGAUAAUUGCCAAAGUAAAAGAAAAAGAAAUGCCUUAUUCCUAUUGUAUUGCAAUUUUAAUUUAAUUAUUUGCGAGUUGUCUGUAAAUUAUAUAUUAUAAACCAACGUGAAGAUUAUAUAAAUAAUAAACCCAUAAGGCAGAUGACGUUCAGUUCAAACUUCAAUACGCAUAGACAUUAAGAUGAAUGUAUCUUCAGUGGUACAGAAAAAUUCAUUCAAAACUGAGCAAGUUCUACCAUGCUCUAGUUCAAGUAAGCACCGCAAGUUUCCUUCAACAAAAGUGAAAUACAAAAAUGAGGUGAUAAAUCAGAUAGACCAGUUAAUUUGCCAGCAAACUUCAUCAGUAUCAGCAUUAAGGUUGUCGGCCCUAUUCAGCCAGUCAACUACCUAUUGUACAAUGAAAUCAACAGUAAAUUUCUUGACCCACAAUGAGUCCAGGCAGGUUGAACAACUUUUAAAAGAUGAUGACAACUUCACAAUUAACAGGAGGAUAUAAAGGAAGAUUAAGGACAUUUGUAUUCAAAAUAAAUGCAUUAUUUGAAAUGAAAUUUAUGUAAACUAAAAUUUGACUUUUGUUAUUGCUGUUGUCUAAAUGACUUGGAACAUUCCUGUCUAGUUUGUUUUCAAAUUGUAUUUUAUUGAUGAUAUUCAUGAUUGUUCAAAUAAAUUCAAAGCACAGACAA
This 1002-nucleotide unclassified non-coding RNA is filed under the name Limulus polyphemus (Atlantic horseshoe crab). Its description in RNAcentral is "uncharacterized LOC106464850, transcript variant X7". Lineage: Eukaryota; Metazoa; Arthropoda; Merostomata; Xiphosura; Limulidae. The record is from RNAcentral.